AUGAAGUCUCCAGGUUCCAGGAGCCUUCUUAAGGAUGAUGUUGACAUUAUCAGAGAAGGGAGUUUUCAAAUGAAGCCUGAUGUUAUUGAAGAGCCAGGAAUAAACCAGUCCUCACUGGCAUUGGAUGUGCAGCCUGAAGUGCCACCCUGGACAGUGUCACACCCACCCUCUGGCCUGAGACAAGCACAGUGGCCUGCCUGGGAGCCUGGCAAGGUUUCACCAGAACUGACUUCCCCUCUUGAUCCAGACUGUACAAUUUUUCCACCUUGGGGAAAUGAGGAGCCUGUUGGAGACAUCCAGGAGCCCCUGACACAUGGGACCUUACCAAGUGAACCACAACUCCCAGAUUUCCUUUUCAGUAAGAAUUUACAGAUUGAUACUGGCACCUCACAGUGCUUUAGCUGAAAAAUCUCUGAGGAUUCUUGAAGCACAAUGAAUUGGGCCAUCACAGACAGUUACUCUGCCAAUUAUAUUCUCCUGAAGGAGCCUUGAGAUAUUUAGUUUUAUAAAGAAAAAUCAGCUUCUAGUGUGGGGGCAGAAAGGCUGUAAGCUAAGCUUCUAAAUAAUUCCUAUGUUUUUAUUUACCUGCUUUGAGUUUUCUUCCAUAUUCAGCUGUCCUCUGACCCUCUCCCACCUCUCAAUAAAUGUCACCUCUCUGUAACUGACA
This 667-nucleotide long non-coding RNA is filed under the name Serinus canaria (Common canary). Its description in RNAcentral is "lncRNA (ENSSCAG00000009123.1)". The record is from RNAcentral. Lineage: Eukaryota; Metazoa; Chordata; Aves; Passeriformes; Fringillidae.